UCGUCAGUGCCUCAGCCGUUGACACCGCCGCGCCACGUCAGUAAGUGGAAACGUAUUUUAUGGAAGUACGCUUUCAGUUAGCAGAAACGUAGUUCUGCUCCUCCUUGGAACAGAAUGCGUUUUCCUCUUCCGAAAGCGUAUUUCCUUUCUUCUUCGGUUGCAAAUGCGUUUCUCCGUUCUGAAGGCGUAUUGUCUAAAAUACGUUUUCUCUUUUUCAGCCCAGGGGCCUGUUUGUAGAGUUUAUUUUACAGAUUGGUUCUGGAUUUCAAACGCUUAUAUCUUUUUGCUCGAGACUCCAAAUGAGGUGAUUCCAAAGCCCACUUCUUCGUCUCGUCGAGCCCGUUCUGUUGGUUUCAUUUUCACUAUGGUUUGACACUGUGAAAAUGACCUUUUUGCCCUUGCACGUAAACAGCCCCUCCGAGAGAGAACUGUUUCUGGCAAAUUUUUCCGCGGCUUCACCGCACUUCUUCCCGGUGCCUUCUUCAUCCCCAUGCAAGCCACAAUACCCACUUGCAUGAUAGUCAUGCAAUAGCCAUGGUUUUCAACUUGAAUAUUUAUUAAAUGUUGCUUGUUUAAAAUAUGGUUAUCAUUGUUUGGGUAAUGCUUCUGGGUUAGUGCUUACUUGCUUGCUAUAUUGUUAUGGACCUGGUUAGCAUGUCCUGCUAGUUUCUAGUAUUACUUUCAUAUUGCCAUGCUUGAUAGUAGUACAUGUUGGGUUGGUCAUGUUCUUCGGUGCAUGACUAACGUCGGUUAUCGAGUACUGUUAAUAUGCGUUGUUCCUUUGCUGUUAGUUGGUUAAGUGUUACUCGGUAAUGUUAUUGAUGAGUCCUUGCAUGGUAUUUAUGGUUGAUGCUAGUGGUCAUGUUAUACCAUGAGUAGUGUUGCACUUGUAAUAUUUAUGCUCGUCAUUAUGCCAUGUUCAGUUUGAGAUUAUUUCAUAUGAUGGAUAAUUAUGUUGCAUCCCGUGCUUAUGUUGAUAUCAUGCUCAUGCUUUGUAUAUGCAUCAUGUUAUUUUAUCAUGGCUCAGCAUAUUGCAUUCAAAUUUAACCGGAUUAAAUUCAACUUGAACAACUGUUGGCUGAGUCAUGGUGCCACCAUAUCGAAACUGACCAGUGCAACCACGCUUACCUUAUGGGGAGGUCCUAACUGGGUCUAUUGUCGUGCCUCUUGCCGGUGCCUCCAACUAGGGAAGGUUAUGGGCGUGCGUACCCUGAUCAGGUAAGCAGACAUAACCUUGUGUGCCCGUUGUUGUUAUUUUUAUGGAUCCGGUCCCCGUGAGGGACGUUUGGCCACAACGGUGGUCGUUGUGUCUUUGGUAGACACGGGGCCACCCAGGACUAGCCCUGUUGGGAGUGGGUCGGAGUGGCCGGGAGAGUGUCAUGACAAUAGAUCGGUUUUGUCGGAACACCGUUGGUCCACCCGAAUGGGAGUGCGAGGCCAUGGGUUCCGUGGUGUGGGUACAGUGUACUAUCCUCUGCAGAGUGUAUAUUAAAUCUAUGGAUAGCCGCGCCCGCGGAUAAGGUCCCAGUUCGUGUCGGUCCCACCGUGAGUCAAUAGUAUUAAUAAUAACUUGAUCAAUGACAACCCCGGUUCGAUGAUGAGAUAAGUUGGUUGUGAUCGCCGGAAAGAUCACCGUUUCAGACCAAGUGUUGGUCAUGGUUGUGAUCGCCGGAAUGAUCACCGUGGUAUCAAGGAUACCGAGUUGUUGGAUAUUCGUGAUGUUGUGCGAGAAUCGUGGGUAAAGAUCAAGCUCAUUGUGGUCAUUUAAUGAUUACUACAGUAUUGUUUAUACCAAGCUUGAUUUGAUCCUCAGAUGAUCGUGUGAUGCCCGAGGAUGCUAAGUGAUGCAUGUGAUGGUUACAAAGUAACCCGAGCAGAAUAAAUAGUGCAUAUAGUGUCAUCAUGUUGCAUGCUAGUAGCGUCAGAUCUAUAUGUUCAUGCCAUGCUCAUGUUGUUCUACCUAUAUCAUGUUCAUGUUGUUCAUGCCAUGUUAUUCUGAUGAUCUCAUGUUAAUUCCUGCUUAACCUGUAAAUGCCAUGCUGAUGUUUGUCUUUAAUGCUUCUUGUUAUUGUGAGCUUGCAAGUACAUUCAAUGUACUGACCUGGCGUGUCAUGCCAGCUUGCAGGUCGUGCCUGGAUUGCUUGCUUGUUUGGUGUGUUCCGGUGUUCGUGAGCUAGGAUAAGCGUUCCAGCCAGAGUCCCUGCGGAGUGGAGUCCAUCAUCGCCGUUCGUUUUUCCGCUGCCAGUAGUUGUUCCGCUACCUCAACUUGUUAUGCUUCUUGCAUAGAGCAACUGAGGAUGCCGUAGUGUCGCCGUGCCGAUGUUAUUCAUUGUAAUAUUCGAGACCUUGUAUUCAUAUUCGUGUAAUAAUAGUAAGCUGGUUUGUUCUAUGCUAAGCUGUGCCGUAUUCCAGAAGACUUCUCCUCGAUCUCUGGGCUGGAAUACGGGGCGUUCCGGUUUUCUCUGAGCCGGGGUGCCACACCUAUUAACCGGAGGCCCAGCCCAGAAUUGUAGUUUUUUGCCUAUUUCAGAGUUUCGCAGAAAAAGAAUAUCAAACGGAGUCCAAACGGAAUGAAACCUUCGGGAACGUGAUUUUCGGAACGAACGUGAUCCAGAGGACUUGGACCCUACGUCAAGACAUCAACCAGGAGGGCACGAGGUAGGGGGGUGCACCUACCCCCCUGGGCGCACCCUCAACCCUCGUGGGCCCCAUGUUA
RNAcentral lists this long non-coding RNA (2716 nucleotides) under Triticum aestivum (bread wheat). Its description in RNAcentral is "long non-coding RNA (TAES_LNC013192)". The record is from RNAcentral. Lineage: Eukaryota; Viridiplantae; Streptophyta; Magnoliopsida; Poales; Poaceae.